AGCCAUGCUGUCUCCCAUGUAUACAGACAGCUCAGUCAUCAUGGAGAGAGCGCCGCCCUUGCAGAAGGGAGGGAGAGUGCAACCUCAGGGCCACAAACUGCGCUCUCAUCCUCCCACCAGUGGGAGCAGUGUUUGUGCCAACCCGACCUACUAUCAUACUGUGUAUGACAUGAGUGAUGCAGCAUGCCAUGACUACAGCAAAGCCAAUGGAGGGGAAACCGUAGUGAUAGAUGGGACACUUUACUCUUUGAUGCCCAGUGACUCUCUGGUUCCUCCUGUCAGAAGGAGAGGAGGCCUAGUUGACCACCGUGAUGUCAUCAAAGCACACCAAUCCCAUAAAUUGCAGAGCACUCCACAGGCCCGACGAAAACAAUGGGACAGGACAAUGCUCGGUCAGGUCAAUCAAGGUGUGGUCUGUGAUCAAGUCUCAUCAAAUUUCUACAAUUCUCCCACUAUGAUCGCCAUCGCUGUACAUGAAGACGAUAUUGAUACACAUCUUCUUCCAGGCAGAUUCGUAACAUCCUGUUAAUUAUUGAUGUCUUUUAUUGUCUAAUUAUUGUCCUGAUGGCGAAAAUAGGAUGGCAUAUUUGAGAAAAUCAUUUACUAAUAAAUGAGAUCCACCCCCUCCCCCAACAGUUUUGCAAUGGAAAGUUAGAUUUUUGUGAAUUAAAUCACAUUUUAAUGUAUUUAUUUAUUUUUGAAUGAAAGAGGACAAACAAAGCAUACUUAUUUGCACAGUUACUCUGCUCAUAUUUACUAUGGACGGGGUAAUAAUUCUAAUAAUAUAUUUAUUUAUUUAUUUUUUAUUAUCUAUAUUUCUUUUUUGGGGGAGCAAUCCCAUUAAGGCUUCUACAUUGCUCUUAAUUUUGAUAUUUUCUAUUUUUGAAUCACAAGCACCAUUUGGUUAUUUUUUCACCUUUUUUAUUCCUCUUUAGUUACAGACCAUUAAUUAAUCAAAAACAGAAGCUCUCAGGUUUGUGUCUGAUGAAAAGCAGCCGUGUUUAUGUACAGUAUAGUAUUCCCAGCAGUCACCAUGUCACCAGCGUUCUGUUCUGACUAGCGUCACUGUUAAGUGCUCCAGCCUGUCUGAGUAGCCAUGCAUCACAUCGCUCACAUGUCUUCUCAGGGUCACUCUCCCCGAUUGGCUGGCUGCCAGUUUCAGCUCUGCUCUUUUCUCAAUGAAACGUUCAGUGAGUGUGAUUUACGCUGUCCUAACGGCAGUGGAAAUGAGAUGCAGCAGGGUGCAGAUGGCAAAUGCACACAAAAACAAAAAAGGAUAUCAAAGCAUAGGAUCAAAGCAAAUGUUAAAGGUAUGGUUCACCCAAAAAUGAAAAAUCUGUUAUCAUUUGCUCUCUCAUGUCAUUCCAAAGCCGUAUGAUUUCCUUUCUUUGGUGGGACACAUAGAAUAGGGGAGUCAGUAGUAUAGUAGUAUGCUAUAGUGCAAUUUAUUAUGAAAGGCAUAAUAGCUGUUUUAUGUUUGUGUUAAGCAAAGAGAUUUAACUAUUUCUUUCAUAAGUCUUUUUGUCUCCUGCACGAGACAAACACAUGCUCAUCAGCAAAAAUCCUUUAAGCGCACACCAUGAACACAUACUUUUUAAAUCUCUCUUACCCAUUAAGAAAAUGGUAUGCAAACAGAAGACUGGACUUAAUACAGUGUUUUGCUAAACACAUCCUUCUGCAUUACAUGCUCACUCAAGCUCUCACAGUUUGGGGUUUAUUUGCUGCAGCCUGUAGUAAAAUGAGGAUGCUCUUUUUUUGUUUUAUCCGCACCUGCUUAAUGUUCUUGCUUUUUCUGAACAAGGACACUGAAAAUGGGUCAUAUCUUAUUAUUAAUCCUUUCUCUAUCAUGCAAAUUUUAUUUAUCUAUUUUUGUUCUUUCUUUCUUUAUCUAUAUAUUAAUACACUG
Long non-coding RNA from Carassius auratus (goldfish), 1906 nucleotides. The record is from Ensembl. NCBI's taxonomy places the organism in Eukaryota, Metazoa, Chordata, Actinopteri, Cypriniformes, Cyprinidae.